UGCCCCAUGGCUGAGUUGGUUACAGCGUCCGACUGUUAAUGUCUUAUAGGCAACUUACAUCGGAAGGUCGAGAGUUCGAGCCUCUCUGGGGCAG
Molecule: non-coding RNA, 94 nt
Organism: Mucidula mucida
Lineage: Eukaryota; Fungi; Basidiomycota; Agaricomycetes; Agaricales; Physalacriaceae
Source: the annotation of a GenBank genome assembly